AGAAAUCGUUAAGGGCGUAUGGCGGAUGCCUAGGCUUUCAGAGGCGACGAAGGACGUGGUAAGCUGCGAAAAGCUACGGGGAUUGGCACACACGAAUAGAUCCGUAGAUAUCCGAAUGGGGCAACCCAAUACAUUGAAGAUGUAUUACUGCGCAAGCAGAGCAAACCCGGAGAACUGAAACAUCUAAGUACCCGGAGGAAAAGAAAUCGAAGAGAUUCCGUAAGUAGUGGCGAGCGAAAGCGGAUUAGCCCAAAAGUUUAUAUAUGUUUAAUAGAACACUUUGGAAAGAGUGGCCAUAGAGGGUGAUAGCCCCGUACAUGAAAGGCAUAUUUAGAUGAUACAAGAGUAGGGCGGGACACGUGAAAUCCUGUCUGAAUAUGGGGGGACCAUCCUCCAAGGCUAAAUACUCCUGAAAGACCGAUAGUGAACAAGUACUGUGAAGGAAAGGUGAAAAGCACUUCGAAUAGAAGGGUGAAAUAGAACCUGAAACCGUACGCCUACAAGCGGUCGGAGCAGCUUAAUGCUGUGACGGCGUGCCUUUUGCAUAAUGAGCCUACGAGUUAAUUUUACUAGCGAGGUUAAGUAAUUAAGUUACGGAGCCGGAGCGAAAGCGAGUCUGAAUAGGGCGAAUAGUUAGUAGGAUUAGACGCGAAACCUUGUGAUCUACCCAUGGGCAGGUUGAAGCUUUGGUAACACAAAGUGGAGGACCGAACCGGUUGACGUUGAAAAGUCUUCGGAUGACCUGUGGGUAGGGGUGAAAGGCCAAUCAAACUGGGAGAUAGCUCGUACUCUCCGAAAUGCAUUUAGGUGCAGCGUUUGAUGAUAAGUUUAUUAGAGGUAGAGCUACUGAUUGGAUGCGGGGGUUUCACCGCCUACCAAUUCCUGACAAACUCCGAAUGCUAGUAAAAUGUUCAUCAGCAGUGAGGGCAUGGGUGCUAAGGUCCAUGUCCCGAGAGGGAAAAGAACCCGGGACCAACAGCUAAGGUCCCCAAAUAUAUGCUAAAGUUGAAAUAACCGGUUGGGACUGCAUUGACAGAGGAUGUUUGGCUUGGAAGCAGCCAUUCAUUUAAAGAGUGCGUAACAGCUCACUAGUCGAGCGGUCCGGCAUGGAUAAUAAUCGGGCAUAAGCAUAUUACCGAAGCUAUGGGAUGUAUUAAAUACAUCGGUAGGAGAGCAUUCUAUCGGCGCAGAAGCAGUAUCGCGAGGUAUUGUGGAGCUUAUAGAAAAGAAAAUGUAGGCAUAAGUAACGAUAAAGGGGGCGAGAAACCCCCUCACCGAAAGACUAAGGUUUCCUCAGCCCUGCUAAUCAGCUGAGGGUUAGUCGGGACCUAACGCGCACCCGAAAGGGGAAGUGGAUGGACAAUGGGUUAAUAUUCCCAUACUUGCUCACACUAAAAAGGGGACGGAUUGCCGUACUUACUGAAGACUGACGGAAUAGUUGAGACCUAGCCUACGGGCGAAGUUGUUGUAGGGAAAGCAGUUCCAAGAAAAGCCGAAGUGAAGCAACCCGUACCAAAACCGACACAGGUAGUCGAGGAGAGAAUCCUAAGGUGCUCGAGUGAGUCGUGGCUAAGGAACUAGGCAAAAUAGUCUCGUAACUUCGGAAGAAGAGACGCCAACAGAAAUGUUGGCCGCAGUGAAGAGGCCCAGGCGACUGUUUAUCAAAAACACAGGACUCUGCUAAAUCGAAAGAUGCUGUAUAGGGUCUGACACCUGCCCGGUGCUGGAAGGUUAAGGAAGGUGCUUAGCGUAAGCGAAGGCAUUAACUGAAGCCCCAGUAAACGGCGGCCGUAACUAUAACGGUCCUAAGGUAGCGAAAUUCCUUGUCGGGUAAGUUCCGACCUGCACGAAUGGUGUAACGAUCUGGGCACUGUCUCAGCCACGAGCUCGGUGAAAUUGUAGUAUCGGUGAAGAUGCCGAUUACCCGCAAUGGGACGAAAAGACCCUGUGAACCUUUACUAUAACUUCGUAUUGACUUUGAGUAAACAAUGUGUAGGAUAGGUGGGAGGCUAUGAAGCUGGCACGCUAGUGUUGGUGGAGCCGUUGUUGAAAUACCACCCUUUGUUUACUUAGAGCCUAACUCGGAAACGAGGACAUUGCGUGGUGGGUAGUUUGACUGGGGUGGUCGCCUCCAAAAGAGUAACGGAGGCUUUCAAAGGUACCCUCAGCACGCUUGGUAACCGUGCGUAGAGUGUAAUGGCAUAAGGGUGCUUGACUGUGAGACCCACAAGUCGAUCAGGUGCGAAAGCAGGACAUAGUGAUCCGGUGGUUCCGUAUGGAAGGGCCAUCGCUCAUAGGAUAAAAGGUACUCCGGGGAUAACAGGCUAGUCUCCCCCAAGAGCUCACAUCGACGGGGAGGUUCGGCACCUCGAUGUCGGCUCGUCACAUCCUGGGGCUGGAGAAGGUCCCAAGGGUUGGGCUGUUCGCCCAUUAAAGUGGCACGCGAGCUGGGUUCAGAACGUCGUGAGACAGUUCGGUCUCUAUCUAUUGCGGGCGUUAGAUGUUUGAGAGGGCUUGAAUCUAGUACGAGAGGACCGAUUUGAACAAACCUCUGGUGUAUCUGUUGUGCCGCCAGGCGCACCGCAGAGUAGCUAAGUUUGGUAAGGAUAAGCACUGAAGGCAUAUAAGUGCGAAACCUGCCUCAAGAUGAGACAUCUUUUAAGGGUCGUGGGAGAUGACCACGUUGAUAGGCUACAGGUGUAAAGUUGGUAACAGCAUGGCCGAGUAGUCUAAUUACCCGUAGAUUUAUAGCC
This 2753-nucleotide ribosomal RNA is filed under the name Riemerella anatipestifer. RNAcentral describes it as "bacterial LSU rRNA". It matches the Rfam family "Bacterial large subunit ribosomal RNA". Lineage: Bacteria; Pseudomonadati; Bacteroidota; Flavobacteriia; Flavobacteriales; Weeksellaceae. The record is from RNAcentral.